Molecule: long non-coding RNA, 850 nt
Filed under: Betta splendens (Siamese fighting fish)
Lineage: Eukaryota; Metazoa; Chordata; Actinopteri; Anabantiformes; Osphronemidae
Description: lncRNA (ENSBSLG00000005657.1)
Source: RNAcentral
AUGGCGUCAACGCAGCUUUGGAGAGAGGAGGAAAAAAAAGCGAAAAUAGGAUUUGCAGCCGAUCUGAUGACAGAAGCAAGAAAUCGGAUCUUUCGAGGCGUUCGCGGACGCGCGGCGGAGGUCCGCGGCGGUGCAGAGCGCGUCUCCGGUGCGUCGCAGGGUCGCUGGUCACUCGGGGAGCCGCACAGCGCCGAGAGCCCUCGUAAAUCCGCUGCUCGCUCGGUUAGGGGAGGAGGGGUGAGCGGCGACUGUUACUGCAGUCAAAACAAGCCCGCAUCCGACUGCGAGCCCAAAUCCUGCGAGGAAACGUCGACAGGAGCGCGCUCGGAGCCGUCAGCGCCGCAGACGAGGCGCCAGAAGCAGGAGAAGCUGGUGGACGAUCGACCUCCGUCGCCGGUCGAGGUUCCUCUCUCUCUCUCUCUCUCUCUCUCUCUCUUUCUCUCUUUCUCUCUCUCUUUCCGUGUCCGUCUCUCCGCUUUUCCGAUCGGUGAAUGUCAGGUCCCGGAGCCUGGUGUCUGGUAAUGAUCUCACCCAGCAGACUGAAAGCUCUGGCCGAGCAGAGCGGAGCGGAGCGGAGCGGCGCAGAGAGAGGAGCGAGCGGGAGAGGAGGAGCGACAUCGCCUCCACCUGGCAGAAAGCGCGCUCAGCGCAGCCUCCCCUCAUUCCCAGGGCCGUCUCCCGUGGGACUGCUCUUACUGGCAUACUCUUAUUAUAACGUAUCCUAAUGCAAAGUGGGGAAGCGACAUCUGGCUGGAGGCUCCUUGUUUCCACUGAGUCACUGCUGGAAGAGUGGACAUGAAUGAAUGACUUAUUUUGACACGCAGACAUAAUAAACUGUGUUCACUUUUCA